This 616-nucleotide long non-coding RNA is filed under the name Triticum aestivum (bread wheat). Its description in RNAcentral is "long non-coding RNA (TAES_LNC000886)". The record is from RNAcentral. Lineage: Eukaryota; Viridiplantae; Streptophyta; Magnoliopsida; Poales; Poaceae.
UUGUGUUGUUCGGAAGCACUACAUCUGGAGGUAUGUUCUCCGUGUUGUUGUUUAUGUAGAGUUCCUAGUGCAUAUGUUAUUCCAAGCAAGAACGUUGAAAAAUAUAAAUAAGAUUUCAAGAUUGUAUUACCAAAGUUUUCUCAAAUAGUACGUUGAUGCACAUUUUGCGUAUGUCCUUUACGAUUUGGGUAGAUCUAACUACUUUUAUGCAGCGUUGUAAGAAUCAUGUCAUUACAAUCAACGUCUCACCUUUAUGUAUAAAUUUUAUUAUGUUUGCGGUAUGCAGAGAAAUGUGCCAUGGUUCAAUUUCCGCUCGUGAUCUGCAACAAUCUAGCAUGCAAGCAUGAAUGUGAGUUUUGGGGCCAGGGCAAGAAGGUUCGAGGAUUCUGGUGCAAUCGGAUGCUCCGUGGCACCUGCAACUGCAAGAUUUGUUGGGAUGAAUAAACUUAAUUGAUACGCUAAGCACAAUUAAUGUUAUCAUUAUUGAAUUCAUAACUUUGUGUCCUUGAAUCACCCAUUUAUGCAUGGGAUUCUAUUCUUGGGAGAGCACCAUGGGAUGGAGAAUAUUAAUCUAUAUUGUGUCAUGGAAAAACUUCUUAAAAGACGAAUAUCAUAC